RNAcentral lists this long non-coding RNA (9909 nucleotides) under Marmota monax (woodchuck). The record is from RNAcentral. Lineage: Eukaryota; Metazoa; Chordata; Mammalia; Rodentia; Sciuridae.
GUCUGCCCAGCCCGCGGAACCCCGGCGGCCCCGCGAGCUAGGAUGAGGGGCCAGGCCGCCGCCCCGGGCCCUGUCUGGAUCCUCCUGCCGCUCCUGCUGCUGCUGCUGUUGCUGGGGCGCCGGGCGCGGGGGGCCACCGGGGUGGACGCAGGGCCCGGGGCCGAGCCGUGCACCACGUUGGUGCAGGGCAAGUUCUUCGGCUACUUCUCGGCAGCUGCUGUGUUUCCAGCCAACGCCUCUCGCUGCUCCUGGACCCUGCGCAACCCGGACCCCCGGCGCUACACUCUCUACAUGAAGGUGGCCAAGGCGCCCACGCCCUGCGGAGGCCCUGGCCGCGUCCGCACCUACCAGUUCGACUCCUUCCUGGAGUCCACGCGCACCUACCUGGGUGUGGAGAGCUUCGACGAGGUGCUGCGGCUCUGCGACCCCUCGGCGCCGCUCGCCUUCCUGCAGGCCAGCAAGCAGUUCCUGCAGAUGCAGCUCCAGCAGCCGGCCCAGGACCACAGCCCCGGGCCCCCCGGCCCCAGGGACGACUUCUCGGUGGAGUACCUGGUGGUGGGCAACCGCAGCCCCAGCCGGGCCGCCUGCCAGAUGCUGUGCCGCUGGCUGGACGCCUGUCUGGCCGGCAGCCGUAGCUCCCAUCCCUGUGGCAUCAUGCAGACCCCCUGUGCCUGCCUUGGCGGAGAGGCCAGCGACCCUGCCUCCAGCCCCUUGGUCCCCCAUGGGGACGUCUGCUUGAGGGACGGCGUGGCGGGUGGCCCCGAGAACUGCCUCACCAGCCUGACCCAGGACAGGGGUGGGCACGGCGCACCAGGUGAGUGGCGGAGGGAGAGGCUGAGGCGGCUCUGCCGGCAGAAGGGUGAGGGCAAAGUGGGCCCGGCCCCCAGGGCAGUGUGGCCAGCAGCGCCUUGGUCCCAGUGGGAAGCCUCCUUGAGCUGUUCACCACAGGCUCUCUGGGCUCCCAGUGGCCAGGGCUCGGUCAGGGUUGAGUUUCCUGCCAGCUGGGGAGUUCAAACUCCCCACCAGAGGGUCCUUUCCUUUUCUUAGCAAGGGCACCUCAAGGGACUGAGCCUGCUGAGGCCGGUGGCCGGGCCAGGUGCAGGGAACAGCGGAUGGAGUGGGCAGGGGUCUCUGUGGAGAUGCUGCCGGGGGGCGUGCCCCUCGCCCAUGGCCUGCUGUAGGGGACCCAGUUGCAAGAACAGCAUAGGAGUGCUGCCUUGGGAGCUGCCCCUUCAGGACAGAGAGGCGCCAGGAGCCAGCAGCGAGCAGCCACUCCCCCGGCAGUGGCGGGCGCACAGCCACCCGCAGCCCUGGCUCUCCGGGCUGCUAGCUUUCUUGAGGUCAGGGAGGUCACUUAGGCUGUGGACCAUGUUCACAGACUGGGGGAUGUGAGCGGACAGCAUUCCAGGCAGAGGGGACAGCAGGGGCUUAGCGUGUCCUGCUGCAGAGGGUCCCAGGCGGUCUGAGGGGUGUUGGCCCCUGGGUUUCCUCUGGGGAGGUGGGACCCCUCCUGGAGUGACCGUGGGCUGGAAGCCAGGGUUGCUCAAGGUGAGGUGAUAGGGCAGUCCUGCACACGCCUGCCCUGUGUCCUGAGGCCCUGUGCACCCAGGACCUGGGCUGGAGGCCAGGCUGGGCUGAGCUGGGCAGGGGCAGGGGUUGGAGCUUGGCAGGCUGCGUGGGAGCUGACCUCUGUUCAGGGGUGAGGCUCCACUGGGGGCUCAAUGUCUAGAGGCCAUUGUGGGUCAAGGGCCCUCAAGGACAUCGAGGGCCUCUCCAGGGCCCGCUGGGGGCCAGGGACGGCCGGGGAGAGGUGCGCUGCACUGGCCCUUCCAGGGCCAUGGAGGACAGAGGCAGCUCCUUGGGGGCUGGGGCCCAGGAAGCGAAGUGGACCAGUUUCCAUUUGGGCAGGCUGGAGGUCACUGUGACCUUGGCAAGGGCAGCUUAGCUUCCCUGGCACAGUGGGCGUGGUAGUGGGCCAAGCAGAACCGGGAAGAAGGGAGCAGAGUGAGCAGUGCUCUCCGGGGACGCAGAGGCUGACGGCUGGCUUGGGUGGGGACACAGGAGGACAGGGUUGGCGGUCAUCAGCAGAUCUGGCCGUGAGUCCUGCCCUGCCACUCGUGGAGGAGCCUUCUUCCUUCAUCUGCUGUGUGGAGUACCCUGCAGGGUGUUCUGCCAACCGGGGUGGACGGACAUCAGGGUCCUGUCCAGACACCCCCCCGGGCAGUGCCCGUCUUUAGUAGAAUGGUUGGGGGGUGGCCACACAGGGAGUCUCCAGAGGUACUCAGCAGUGGAGCUGGCUGGCAGGAGCCGUGACCUCUCUGGGCUGGCCCGGUGGAUGCAGGCGUCUGCUGGAGGGUGCUGGAGGGUGCUGGUGGCCGUGGAACCUCGGUGCCCGGGAGCCUGGGGCUCCACUCCUGAGCCCUUCCAUGGGCAGCCGCCGUGGCAGGAGCUGUGGCUGUGACGCCAGGCCUCCCCCUGCAUUUGUAUGUGAUCUUGAGAAGGGAAGGGCCCGGGAGGGCUGGUAGCAGAAGGGGGACACCCCUGGGUUGCGAGAAGCAGAAAGGCUCCCUGGUGGGAGCCUAAGGCAGAAGGUGGCGUGGGCAGGCAUCCAGGAGGUGGCUGAUGCUGCCCUGGUCAGGGCCCAGUAGCAGGGGCAGGAGGAAGGCCUUCAAGUGGAGCUGAGGGACUUGUGGAUGAAGUGGGCACAGAGGCAGGAGAGACUGGACUGCUUCCACAGUUCUGGUCAGGAUCGAGGACAUCCACUGGAGUGGGGAAGCAGGGGUGGGAGACGCAGCGAGGAGGAAGAUCUGGAGGUCAGAGUGGGACAGAGGACGAAUUACCUGUGGGACAUCUUGGGAGGGGGCAUUGUACUCAGAGCUGGGGCACAGGACAGGGCCAGGUGGGGGCAGGGCUUUUGAACUGUACCUUUUGAACCCAGGGCCUGGGUUCAAAUCCUGGCCUGACCCUGGCUUGCCAUGUACGUCUGAACCAUUCCCACUGCCCUCUCUGCCUAGAUUUCCACGGAAAUGAGAGGUGGGGCGAGGUGAUUCUGAGCAGAAGCAGCGUUACGAGGAGGCAGGGGCAUACUUGUGUGUUACCAGGCCGGAGAUCCUGGAGGGCCUGGGGCAGAGACCGGCUGGAGGCAGGGGUGUUGGAGAUGCAGUGUGGGCAGCUGGGGUGUGUGCACAGAUUUGGACAAAGGAUGCUGGCCAGUGGUGCCCAGAGCAGGUGGGGAGGUGUGAGUGCACGGUGUGCACAUGUGUGUGGUACAUCCUGUUCACGAGCCGGUUUGGAAGCGUGUGGAUGGGCUCUGGUAGGGUGGAGCAGGGAGCACAUGCUUUGGUUUGGUGAGGUGGCACACGUGUGCGUGCAGCACGUGGUGGGUGCACAGGUCAGUAGUGGACAGGCUUGUGGGCUCUGUGCAUUCACAAAUGUCAGCACGCAUCCAUGCAUGUGUAGGGUGUUAUACACAUGCAUGUUCACACAUGAAUGUCCUUGUGAGUGUGCUACAUGCAUGUUACGCGUGUGCAUACAUGCAGCGCACGUGUGUGCAGUGCAUGGAGUUCACAUACAUACAGUGCAUUGCGCGUGUAUUCAUGCACAUGCGUCUGGCAUGUGCACCCACAUAUGUGUGUACGUGUGGUAGCAUGUGUGUGCACGGAGCAGUGACUGUUCAUACUGCACAUUGUGUGUAUGUGACACGUGUGUGCACACAUUGCAUGUGUGGGUGCGAUGCAUUUUGCUGUGCCCGGUGUUCAUGCAUGCGAGUGAGCCCGUGUGCACACGGCAGGGCUCUGUGCGGCUCUUUCUGCAGUGUGGAGUGGAGUGCAGGGCCUGCCCGUCUUUCUGGUGGCGUGAAGCAGGUGGCACAUAGUCCCUGCCCAUGCCCUGCACCUGAGAGGCCCUGUGGCUUCCUGGGCCGUGAGAAUGAAAAUGAGCCGCAGUGACCGCGCAGCCGUUGCCUGGUGCUCAUCUUGUGCCGAAGCACCCAUGUGUCCACUGCUUUCUCUUCGUGGUGCCCCCCCCCCCAGACAGGCUCCCCCUUGAGGCUGCCCCCUGCCUCAGGACCUCGCAGGGCUGAGUGCUUUCCCCUCUGAGCCCGCAGCCUUGCUCAGAUGCUCCUUCUCGUGAGGCCCCUGACCUGCUGUGUCAUGGCGGCAGUCCCUCCAUGGCCCUCUGCCCCUCUGCCCCUCCUCCAUGACACAGGUCACCUUGGGCAGGUCGUGCACCUCCCUGACUAUGUGCUAAGAGGAGGCCUGAGCCCCUCACGGCCCUUCCCCCAGGUGCAUGCAGCAAGUGCUCAGCAAAUGCGUGUGGGCAACAGAGAUGUUAGCGCAGUGACCCGAGUAACACAGCUUAGUGAGUGGUAGGCUGCAGAGACACCUGGGUGCCACCUGGGCUUACACUGAGUGCCCUCUGUGUGCAGAAGGCGAAAGGUCGGGUAGCUUCAGAAGACAUGGCUGAGCCCACGCAGCAGCUACCCAGCUCUCCUCUGCGAGCCCCGUGCCCAGGACCUUCGCCUCACUGCGCCCACCGUGCAGCCCCACCUCAGCGAGGUGCCUGGCCAGGCGAGGCGGGGGCAGCCUGGGCGAGCCGUGGCCCAUUUUCAACCCUGCCCCCACCAGGCCCGUCCCAAUGCCACAUGGCCACGUCACGCAUCAGAUUCCACAAACAUGCCUCAGGCCAGAGCAACUGUCCUUCUCUGCCCGGCCCCCUCCAUGGCUGCCAGGCCCUGCACCCACCCUGGGUCCCGGUGCCACCCCCAGCUCGAUCUCCCCGUUCACUCCAUCUUCCCCACCACCUCUCAGCAGCUCUCUGCCUCUGGUGAGAUGGGCAUUUCUCUCAAGGGUUGUUUUAAAUAUUCAUGUUUUUAAUUAAAGAAUUUUAUUGCAGAAGCGACAUGUAAGAUAAUGAAGAAGCAGCCUCCUGGGGGUGGGAGCGAGUGUGUGUGUCCCCGUGCGUAUGGGCGUCCCCGUGUGUGUGUCCCUGUGUGUGUGUAUACAGAGGCCAGGGCAGGGGUGGGAGGCUCAGCUGACCUGGGUGUCCGGGGGUGUGGACACGUGGAUACACACGCGCAUGCGUGCUCUGCUAGGCAUGUGAGGGACCCGAUGGCCUGCAGGGCUGGCGCUGACCCUCCCUCUGGCCCUGCCCAGGGCCAGUCAUCAGUGUCCCGCCUGGCUAGUGACCCCCAUACAGUCGCACUCCCAGAAGCUCCGCUGAGGUCUGCAGGCCAGAGGGGCAGCAUGAGGGCGGGCGGGAGCUGGCCUGACCUGUGGGAGGAGGACUGGGGUGCAGUUGGGGUUGAGGUGGAGUUUGGUGGGUGCUGGAAGAUGGUGGGGCUGGGGAAAGCACCAGGGUCUUCACUCUCAGGGAUAGUGGGCUCCUCAUCUUGGCCUGUCGAUUUAGAAAAGUCUAGAAAAGAAGGAGGGAGAGGUACAGGCACCCCUUCAGUGCCCAUCAGGUGGAAAGAGCAGGGUGGGCCCAUGCAGAGAGUCCACAGGGAGCUGCCAGCCCUGACCGCGAGGCUGGAGGCAGGCUGAGGAUCAUGGCCUAAUUUAGUGCCACUUCCCAGAAAGGCAGGAGAAGGGAUGUCAGGUUGGCUGCGGGACAGCCAGAGCCUGGGGACGAGCAGGACGAGCAGCAAGACUGUCCAGGAUGGACUGAGUUUUCAGACUAGUGAUCAGGGCACUGUUCUCAGGACCAGGAGCACCUGGGAGCACCUGCCAGGGAGCCUGUUCCCCUCUGUGGGCUGGGAAUGGGGAGGACUUGCUUGUGGGACCUGUGUGAGCCUUCACUGAGCAGGUGCUCCACAGGAGGAGGAGCUGCCAGCCCAGCAGAAGGUGGGCUGUUUCAGGCCGGCUGGAUGCAGGGCCCAGGAGUGGGGCUAAGUGGGGGAGGGGCAUCAGGGAGCCUCCUGUCCUUGUGGUCCUGUGCUUAUUCAGAGGGGUCCUAUGGCCGGGGUCAGCGCCUGGGCGCCCCUCUAGGAAGCCUGGACAGAGGACCGUUCUUGCACCUUGCAGUGAGUGCCAGGAGACCCCAGCCGGCCCCGCAGGGGCAAGAAUGGGCAGUAGCCCGGGGGCUGCACAACCUGCGGGGCUCGAGCGCCCUCUGCUGGAUGAGGCUGGGAGUGCAGCGUCCCUCCCCUCCAAAGGGGAUCCCGGAGACUGGAGAGGCCGCCCUGGGGGAAGGGCUCCCGCGGAGCCCCGACCCAGCCCACUCCGGGCGCAGGAUCUGGGGAGCCCCUGCCUUCAGGCCUGGUCCCCACGGUGGGAAGGACACUCGAGCCCCCUCACUGUGCACCCUCGUCCCUGGGUGGCCGGCCUGCCUGGCGGCCGAUAAUUGGCUCUAUUCAUCGCCAUAAUGAGAUGGAAAUGAGGCUUCCAGACAGAGGGGCAUUGAGUGGGGGAAGAAUAGCGGCUUCUUUCCGGGACCGGAGGGGCAGCCCACCCCCAGCCCUGCCUGCUCCUCUGCUGCCCCCUUGCGUCCCGCGGGACCUGACAGCCUUUGUGCUGUGUGUGCUGCUCGGCAGGGGACCCCAGGAGUCCUUCCCUGUAACUCCCUUUCUGGCGCCCACUCUGGCAGGGCAAACAUUUGUGGAGCGUCAGCUCUGUGAGGACACACGUUAGACAGGAGAUGACGGCAAAAACGGCAGCUACACUUCCUGAGUGCUCCUUAGUGGAGAGACAUAGCCAAGGUUAGGAUCAGUGGUGGCUGGGAUCGGGGCUCAGUGUGUGGUGUUGGACCAGGGAUCCUAUGCUCAGGUCAGAGGUCAGUCUAUGAUGAGGAUCAAGGCUCCGUGUGUGACCAGAGUCAGGAAUCAAUCUGUGACCAGGACCAGAGCUCAGGCCAGGGCUCAGUGUGUGACCAGGACCAGGGCACAGCCUAUGACUUGGAUCCAGACUCAACAUAACCAGCUGGGACUGGAUUUAGUGUGGGCAGAGGGAGGUCCAUGCUCUGUGUCAGGGUCCCCAAGCCUCUCUUUAUGAUCCCCACCUCUCCUCUCCCCUCCCCCUCCACAUCCUCACCACCUGGGUCACCAAGGUAACCAGCCCUGAAAUAGUGGGUGUUCUGGCAGCUGAGGCCUAACCUGGGUCUAUCCUGAAAGGCUGCGCAGCAGUUGCCAUGGGAACCGAGUGGCAUCCUCCGAUUAGCCUGGCUUGGACACCCUCUCUCCCACCCACUGCCAGUUUCCACACCACUCAGGAUUCCUCAUGGGGGCUGGGCUGGGCGCAAAGGGGCACAAGCUGCAUGUGCCAGCUGGACCCGGUCGCCAGGCCUGCCUCCGUGAAAUCGGCCCUCUGCUCUGUCUAGAAUCACGGAUGGGAUGGGAUGGCAGGUGAGACUCCUGAGGCUGGUCAGUCCUGGCAGAUGGCCUUGGUGGGGAGGGGUGGGAUUUGGAACCUGAUCUGGUUGAAGAUCUGAAUUCGACCUGGUUCCUGAGACUGGGCAUCCCGCCCUGUCCUGUCCACUGUGCCUCCCCUUGCCCUUGGCUCUGCCCUGGGCCGGGGACAUCUCUGCUUGCCUCCUCCUGUGCCCUCCUGCCUGCUUUCUGAGGCCCUUCCACCUUAUCUGAAGAUGAAGUGAGAUAGGCAGUGCACGGUGCACAGACACUGAGAGCUCUUGCUCAGGACCGAGACCUGUGCCCACCCCCUCUGUCCCAGUCAGUGCCAGCUGGAGCAGACUGGCCUCACCCAGUGUGCGGCUGCCGCUCCCAGCCUCAGUGUCCUCUGCUACAGACAGGGUGAAGCAUGCCUGGUGGGGACGGGCUAGAGUGCAGGCUCUGUGCUGGCACUGGCCUUGCCCGCCAGGGACUGGGCACCCAGGAGGGCCACCCAUGGGAGGGGAAGCAACCCAUCCCAGGGAUGUGGGGCCUGAGUCCAGCAGUUUGGCACAGUCCCUGAGUGGCCUCUUCCUGGGGAAAAGCUGGGGGGAGAGGUACAGGCACCCCUUCACUUGUGGCCCCUGUGUUGUCUGAGAAAUGGGAGCAGGGCACCCCCCCCCCUCCAUAAGGGACACUCCACCCAGACUGAGAAGAGGCUCAGAAGCACCGCCCCACUUCCCUGCGCACUGGCUGUGUCCUGCCAGGCAGACACGGCCUGGUGCACUGGACAGGAGGACUGGUCCCCCUGGGCUCCAGCUCUCGUGGUCUGCUUCUCUGGAGACCACGGGGCUGUGGACUCCCUGAGGGGAGAGCAGCUUCCACAUCAAGCCGGGGGUAGAAGAUGCCCCUCUCCACCCUGUGUCCCAGCAGGAGAGCAAGCCUCCCAUCUGUGACCGGGAUUCCUUGCCUGGUUCCCACCACCCAUGCUGGUGCCCCCUGCUGGCCCAACCCAAGCAUGGGUGCAGAGAAGAUAGGCACUGCAGGGUGCACAGACCAGACCAGGCCCAGGGGUCAGCUCUGACCAGAAGGCCGUGCUUACACUCGGACAUUUCCAAGUGCUUUCUUGAUGUUGAGCCUCCUGCUGGUCAAUCCUGGGAAGCCGGCUGUCAUCCUUGGGCCGUGAUAGGUAUGAGGCCAGGAGAUGACCCAGGGACCAUUUGGGUGGUGGGGCUGCUCACCUUUUGGGACAUCCUGCGUGUCCCUAUUCUCACCCCACAAGGUGAGGUUCCCUCCUCUAGGCCACAGGUAAGGCUGAGGCACCAGAGGCCCUCCCUACCGCCAAGAGUCCCCUGCCCUUGGCCAGCUGGUUCUCGGUCCCUGGAGGGGCCUCUUGUGCUCUCUUGAGCAAGCUGUCUGGCUCAGUGCCCCCAGGGGGCAGUGUGGGGCCGUCUCUGGGCUCCAACACCAACCUCCUCAACAGGGAUAGGUCAGGGUGUCUUCAGCAGAGAUACCCUGUCCUCUGGGCCUGAGCCCAGCCUGUGAAGGGUCAACUACUCUUCUGAAGUCCAUCUAACCCCACUGCUCUGGAGUGCAGAAGACCAGGGGACGGCAGAGGCCCAGCUGUGUAGUGCGAGGUCCCCCAGCAGGAGGCCUCCGGUGGCCCACCAGUGCGCCUUGCUCCUGGUGCUUGCCGGCACUGGCCCUUCAAGCAGCCCUCAGUGUUCUCAGAAGCCCUGGGCCACCAAGGGGCUGAGGCCCCCAGGGGCAGCAGGCCUGGUUGUUGGGGGAAACAUUCCGGUGACGGCAGUGGACUACCAGGGCCAGGGUGGAGGAAGACCUAGGAGAGGCUGAGGUGGGUGGCUGGAGUCAGCAGGGCCAGGGGCCUGGAGGCCUGUGUCCAGAGCUCAGCUGGUGGUCAGUUCUGCUGGGUCUUAAAUAGGUCUUUGGGUCUGCCAGGCUGGGCCCUGGUGUGGGACCUUGGUGGGCGUGGGGUUGGGUGGGGCUUGGGCCAUGGCCGAGUCUAGCCCUCCUCUGUGCAGAGGAGGCAAAAGCUCCGAGGAGCAGGACCUGAGCCAGAAAUUGAUGAAGGGCCUGGGAGGGUGUCCAGGUGUGCAGGAACGCAAGCCUUAGCCAGCUCUCUGCCCUGGGCCUCUCAGGGUCCUUGUGUCUAAGACAGCCUUGGGCUGGGUGGGAGACCACUGCCCUCCGGCAAACCCGCCUGGGCGGUGCCAGGUGCCAGGUACUAGGACUGACCUGAGCCCUCCAGCAGGUGCCCAGGAGCUGGGUGGCACCAGGUCCCCUAAGGCCCCACGGGGCACUUCUGUCCCUCCCAGCCAGCCGCAGCAGGUGCUUUCCCCUGGGUGCUGCCCACCGCUCCCAACUCCAUCCGCCUGUCCCCAGUCCUCCGCGCUCUGACCCCGCCUCCUGGUUCCGCAGGCGGUUGGAAGCUGUGGUCCCUGUGGGGAGAGUGCACGAGGGACUGCGGAGGAGGCCUGCAAACGCGGACGCGCACCUGCCUGCCAGCACCAGGCGUCGAGGGCGGCGGCUGCGAGGGGGUUCUGGAAGAGGGUCGUCUGUGCAACCGCAAG